This 506-nucleotide ribosomal RNA is filed under the name Salmonella enterica subsp. enterica serovar Anatum. RNAcentral describes it as "bacterial SSU rRNA". It matches the Rfam family "Bacterial small subunit ribosomal RNA", at positions 1 to 496 of the family's 1533-position model. Lineage: Bacteria; Pseudomonadati; Pseudomonadota; Gammaproteobacteria; Enterobacterales; Enterobacteriaceae. The record is from RNAcentral.
AAAUUGAAGAGUUUGAUCAUGGCUCAGAUUGAACGCUGGCGGCAGGCCUAACACAUGCAAGUCGAACGGUAACAGGAAGCAGCUUGCUGCUUCGCUGACGAGUGGCGGACGGGUGAGUAAUGUCUGGGAAGCUGCCUGAUGGAGGGGGAUAACUACUGGAAACGGUGGCUAAUACCGCAUAACGUCGCAAGACCAAAGAGGGGGACCUUCGGGCCUCUUGCCAUCAGAUGUGCCCAGAUGGGAUUAGCUUGUUGGUGAGGUAACGGCUCACCAAGGCGACGAUCCCUAGCUGGUCUGAGAGGAUGACCAGCCACACUGGAACUGAGACACGGUCCAGACUCCUACGGGAGGCAGCAGUGGGGAAUAUUGCACAAUGGGCGCAAGCCUGAUGCAGCCAUGCCGCGUGUAUGAAGAAGGCCUUCGGGUUGUAAAGUACUUUCAGCGGGGAGGAAGGUGUUGUGGUUAAUAACCGCAGCAAUUGACGUUACCCGCAGAAGAAGCACCGG